AAUGGGCGCAAGCCUGAUCUAGCCAUGCCGCGUGAGUGAUGAAGGCCUUAGGGUCGUAAAGCUCUUUCGCCAGGGAUGAUAAUGACAGUACCUGGUAAAGAAACCCCGGCUAACUCCGUGCCAGCAGCCGCGGUAAUACGGAGGGGGUUAGCGUUGUUCGGAAUUACUGGGCGUAAAGCGCGCGUAGGCGGAUUGGAAAGUUGGGGGUGAAAUCCCGGGGCUCAACCCCGGAACUGCCUCCAAAACUAUCAAUCUAGAGUUCGAGAGAGGUGAGUGGAAUUCCGAGUGUAGAGGUGAAAUUCGUAGAUAUUCGAAGGAACACCAGUGGCGAAGGCGGCUUACUGGCUCGAUACUGACGCUGAGGUGCGAAAGUGUGGGGAGCAAACAGGAUU
RNAcentral lists this ribosomal RNA (392 nucleotides) under uncultured Gammaproteobacteria bacterium. Its description in RNAcentral is "bacterial SSU rRNA". It matches the Rfam family "Bacterial small subunit ribosomal RNA", at positions 370 to 779 of the family's 1533-position model. Lineage: Bacteria; Pseudomonadati; Pseudomonadota; Gammaproteobacteria. The record is from RNAcentral.